Molecule: long non-coding RNA, 255 nt
Filed under: Lathyrus oleraceus (garden pea)
Lineage: Eukaryota; Viridiplantae; Streptophyta; Magnoliopsida; Fabales; Fabaceae
Description: Pisum sativum (pea) long non-coding RNA (PSAT_LNC012831)
Source: RNAcentral
GUUCUAUAAUCCAAAUGUUGUAAGUUUAGAAAGUAACAAGGUUGUUUUGGUUGGAAAGUUAUCUUGUGAGUAAAUGUCACUAAAAACAGUAAAAUGGUUUUAAUCUAAUAUAAAAGUUUGGCAAGAUUGGAGUUCACUAUUUCAAAUGUUUAUGCUUCCUUAUGAAAACUAUAUAGAUUUAAGAUUAUUGAUGAUGUUCAAGUAUCCUCUCAAAGUCAUUUAUGUCUAAAUGAUAUUGUGAUAAUCACUAUAUUG